AAACUCACCGUUUUGAUUGAAACGAAUUCGAUCCUUCUCCCUUCUCCCUAACCCUAAUACCAUCGACAUCCCUCCCUUCCUGAAACCAGCGAUGGAGACCAUCACGAAACGGAAGGAAGCACACACACGAAGGGGACAAAAGAGAUUUCAAUUUUCGCAACUGCUUUCAAUGCUACCACAGAAGUUUGAUGUCCAACAGACUGGUGCUACAAAAGGAAAGGAUAACAGUAAAAAGGAAGCUGCAUUACGACCCCUGGUUCCAGCCCCUGUUUUAAACUAAAAGGAGAGGAUUUACAAUGAAGCAAAAGCCACCUUGUGGAAACCUGCUCCAAUCUUUGACUUAAACCAGAAGGCUAGAACUUUCUGUGGAAAGGAAGCUGCUUUGCAAGGUUCUGCACCAAUAUUUGACAUGAGCCAAAAGGAAAGGAUCUACAGUGGAAAAGAUGCUACCAAACGACACAGUACUCCAGUUUUUGACUUGAACCAGAUUUUGACAGAUGAGGAAUUGCUUCAUAAGAGGGUGAAUGAGAUUGAGAAGAGAGAGAUGGUGCUUUUGGACCAACAAGUUGAAAUAAGGCGUUCACGCACUCUACGCCGGCUGUAUUGGGCUUUUGUAGUUGUUAUGUCAUGUUGCUUAGUAGUAUAUAAGUGAUUUUGGAACUCUGUAUUGGGCUUUUGUAGCUGUUGUGUCAUGUUCCUUUUUUUUUUUUUUGUAAAUUAUCAGAAACAUGUACAAAAAUCAAUGUGACUCAUGUUCCUUUUUUUUUGUAGAUUAUUAGGAACAAGUCCAAAAUUCAAUGUGACUCAUUUUCCUUUUUUUUUUUGUAAAUUAUUAGAAACCUGUGCAAAAUUCAAUGUAACUCAUGUUC
Juglans regia (Persian walnut) is the source of this 869-nucleotide long non-coding RNA. RefSeq lists it as uncharacterized. NCBI's taxonomy places the organism in Eukaryota, Viridiplantae, Streptophyta, Magnoliopsida, Fagales, Juglandaceae. The transcript has 3 exons. The record is from RefSeq and is a predicted model, not a curated record.